GUGGGUCUCGAUUCUUUAUUGCCGUGCGGCGGCGGCGGCGGCGGCGGGCAUGUGCGCGGGUCGAAGAAGGGCGGCUUCCCAGGUUAACGCCCGGCCCCCCGGCUCCUGAAAUGGCCACACCUCCAUGUGAGCAACCACCCACCAUUGGAGAGCUCGAGAGAGUCGGUGCAAGAGGGAGGCAAUCAAACAUGGAGAAUGAUGCAAUAAAAACUGUGCACGGGAGGUAGGAGCCCCACUCUCGAUGGGGAGAGAGAGAGAGAGAGAGAGAGAGAGAGAGAGAGAGAGGAGUUUUUAAGUAUUUGGGUGCACAGAGAAAUUUUAAAUUAAUUAUCGCGAAGAGCUGCUGAAUUGGAGAAACAUGCAACUGGCGAUUAGAACGGGCCCCUUGUGGAAGUUCCGAGAAUCUGAGACAAUGGGCCGUAUUGGCGGGAGAGCCGGGCCAGCGGACGCCGAGAGAUUGAAGAGGCGAGGAAGCUCGAAG
RNAcentral lists this long non-coding RNA (481 nucleotides) under Spirodela polyrhiza (greater duckweed). Its description in RNAcentral is "long non-coding RNA (SPOL_LNC000678)". The record is from RNAcentral. Lineage: Eukaryota; Viridiplantae; Streptophyta; Magnoliopsida; Alismatales; Araceae.